Molecule: non-coding RNA, 451 nt
Organism: Pelodiscus sinensis (Chinese soft-shelled turtle)
Lineage: Eukaryota; Metazoa; Chordata; Testudines; Trionychidae
Source: RefSeq, a predicted model, not a curated record
UUCUACGACCGAGCCGGGGCCGUGGAGCCCGGGUACCCCCGGCCGCUGAACCUCUGGAAGGGGGUGCCCGCCGGGCUGGACGACAUCAUCAGCUGGAAUGACGGAAGCACCUACUUUUUCAAGGGCUCCCAAUACUGGCGCUUUCUGGGGGGCAGCGUGGAGGCUGAGAGUGGCUACCCCAAGUCAGCUGCCCAGGACUGGAUGUAUUGCCAGGGUGCCCCCACUGCAUCUCCGGCCCCAGGGCCCCGUGGAAGGUGGGGGGAGCCUGGAGGUGGCCAGUGCCUCUGCAGUGGGGCCCCGCCAGGCCCUCUGGCAGCCCUCCUGACUUGGAUCCUGGCUCUGGCAUGGGCCCUGCGGUGACCCCUGCCGUGCUGCGCCGAUGCACUUUAUGUGAUCCCACUGCUGGCACCAGAGCCUGUUCGCAGCGUCCCCCUCUUACCACCAGAGGGUG